GUUAGGGUUGGGGUUAAGACUAGGGUUAAAGUUAGGGUUGGGGUUAAGACUAGGGUUAAAGUUAGGGUUGAGGUUGGGGUCAGUUUGAGUGUUUUCCUUCAUUGGACUGCCAAUGUGUUGCACCCCAAUAUGCCUUAGUAACGGCUGAGCACACAGGUCUUCCUCGGUACCAAUUUGUUUGUGGGUUCUGGAAGUAACGUGCCCGAGGGAAGGGGCCCAUUUCAUUGUCAAACAAUCACCCACGUGAAUCACCAGUUUUCCUGUCUGGUAACUCCUCUAACAUCAAAUAAACUUAUUUUCUAAAUA
This is a long non-coding RNA of Oncorhynchus tshawytscha (Chinook salmon), 306 nucleotides long. NCBI's taxonomy places the organism in Eukaryota, Metazoa, Chordata, Actinopteri, Salmoniformes, Salmonidae. The record is from Ensembl.